This 620-nucleotide ribosomal RNA is filed under the name Escherichia coli. Its description in RNAcentral is "partial 23S ribosomal RNA". It matches the Rfam family "Bacterial large subunit ribosomal RNA", at positions 2328 to 2925 of the family's 2925-position model. Lineage: Bacteria; Pseudomonadati; Pseudomonadota; Gammaproteobacteria; Enterobacterales; Enterobacteriaceae. The record is from RNAcentral.
UGGUCGGACAUCAGGAGGUUAGUGCAAUGGCAUAAGCCAGCUUGACUGCGAGCGUGACGGCGCGAGCAGGUGCGAAAGCAGGUCAUAGUGAUCCGGUGGUUCUGAAUGGAAGGGCCAUCGCUCAACGGAUAAAAGGUACUCCGGGGAUAACAGGCUGAUACCGCCCAAGAGUUCAUAUCGACGGCGGUGUUUGGCACCUCGAUGUCGGCUCAUCACAUCCUGGGGCUGAAGUAGGUCCCAAGGGUAUGGCUGUUCGCCAUUUAAAGUGGUACGCGAGCUGGGUUUAGAACGUCGUGAGACAGUUCGGUCCCUAUCUGCCGUGGGCGCUGGAGAACUGAGGGGGGCUGCUCCUAGUACGAGAGGACCGGAGUGGACGCAUCACUGGUGUUCGGGUUGUCAUGCCAAUGGCACUGCCCGGUAGCUAAAUGCGGAAGAGAUAAGUGCUGAAAGCAUCUAAGCACGAAACUUGCCCCGAGAUGAGUUCUCCCUGACUCCUUGAGAGUCCUGAAGGAACGUUGAAGACGACGACGUUGAUAGGCCGGGUGUGUAAGCGCAGCGAUGCGUUGAGCUAACCGGUACUAAUGAACCGUGAGGCUUAACCUUACAACGCCGAAGCUGUU